This 429-nucleotide ribosomal RNA is filed under the name Chloroflexota bacterium. RNAcentral describes it as "Chloroflexi bacterium partial 16S ribosomal RNA". It matches the Rfam family "Bacterial small subunit ribosomal RNA", at positions 355 to 776 of the family's 1533-position model. The record is from RNAcentral. Lineage: Bacteria; Bacillati; Chloroflexota.
UGGGGAAUAUUGCACAAUGGGCGCAAGCCUGAUGCAGCCAUGCCGCGUGUGUGAAGAAGGCCUUCGGGUUGUAAAGCACUUUCAGCGGGGAGGAAGGCGUUAAGGUUAAUAACCUUGGCGAUUGACGUUACCCGCAGAAGAAGCACCGGCUAACUCCGUGCCAGCAGCCGCGGUAAUACGGAGGGUGCAAGCGUUAAUCGGAAUUACUGGGCGUAAAGCGCACGCAGGCGGUCUGUCAAGUCGGAUGUGAAAUCCCCGGGCUCAACCUGGGAACUGCAUUCGAAACUGGCAGGCUAGAGUAUUGUAGAGGGGGGUAGAAUUCCAGGUGUAGCGGUGAAAUGCGUAGAGAGCUGGAGGAAUACCGGUGGCGAAGGCGGCCCCCUGGACAAAGACUGACGCUCAGGUGCGAAAGCGUGGGGAGCAAACAGG